ACCCCGUCAAGAAGCCGGAGGUUCUGCUGAGGUGCAACACAUCUCAGUGUGCUGAGACUGCCCUCAAUGUUGCCCCCAAGAACUGCAAAGCCAUCCUGGAAACAGCGGCCCAGCUGCCCACUGGAGUCACCAAUUCCUAAGAUGCAGAUAAGGGAACAGCCCAGAGGAGGGGGAGCACUUCCAGAGGGAGGGAUGCGGUGAGACUUCCUGCAGCAGGGUAGCACUGGAGCUGGGUGUUAAGGAGUGAGUGAGCUUUGGGCUUAUGGAUUUAACAGAGGAAACCAAGAAAAGAAGAGGCGGUGUUGCGGGAACAGUGAGCAGUUGAUGAUUUUUAUUUUGUUCUCUGGUCCGCUUGGGAACAUUUUUGUGGCAAACACAGCAUGAAGGAUAGCGAAGAAUUAAUACUGAAGAGAUAGGCCAGGGCAGGUUAUGAAGGUAUCCUGCAAUGGUUCAUUUGCUUUUGAUGGGAUUAUCACUUUGACAGAUGUGCUUGCAAUUAACUGGGGGCUUUCUGCUUCCAAUCCAAAUUCCCACAGGUGGAUCACUGGCUCUUGGGGAGCAAAAACCCUUCUUUGUUUGUUUUUGCUUCUCCCAGAGCCUGGGCAGAGCUCCCCAUUCCUGGAUCCUACGUUGAUAUACACUGAAUUGAAUUAUACUAAAGGGUGCACCCAAGAGUGCAUGAGCUAAGUAAAAUGUAAUUUGUGGGACCUCAUGUGGACAUUUCAGGUCCAUGUGUACAAGAUAAAGGAGAGAAAAUCCUGGGGGACACCACAGGCCUGGGAAAAUGACCUCCUACUCA
This 799-nucleotide long non-coding RNA is filed under the name Pan troglodytes (chimpanzee). Its description in RNAcentral is "long non-coding RNA NONPTRT002020". Lineage: Eukaryota; Metazoa; Chordata; Mammalia; Primates; Hominidae. The record is from RNAcentral.